Molecule: ribosomal RNA, 397 nt
Filed under: uncultured Nitrosospira sp.
Lineage: Bacteria; Pseudomonadati; Pseudomonadota; Betaproteobacteria; Nitrosomonadales; Nitrosomonadaceae
Description: bacterial SSU rRNA
Rfam family: Bacterial small subunit ribosomal RNA
Source: RNAcentral
CAAGACCUUGCGCUUUUGGAGCGGCCGAUGUCUGAUUAGCUAGUUGGUGGGGUAAAGGCUUACCAAGGCUACGAUCAGUAGCUGGUCUGAGAGGACGAUCAGCCACACUGGGACUGAGACACGGCCCAGACUCCUACGGGAGGCAGCAGUGGGGAAUUUUGGACAAUGGGGGCAACCCUGAUCCAGCCAUGCCGCGUGAGUGAAGAAGGCCUUCGGGUUGUAAAGCUCUUUCAGCCGGAACGAAANGGUUACGGUUAAUACCNGUGACUAAUGACGGUACCGGAAGAAGAAGCACCGGCUAACUACGUGCCAGCAGCCGCGGUAAUACGUAGGGUGCGAGCGUUAAUCGGAAUUACUGGGCGUAAAGCGUGCGCAGGCGGUUUUGUAAGUCAGAUGU